Molecule: long non-coding RNA, 324 nt
Organism: Hermetia illucens (black soldier fly)
Lineage: Eukaryota; Metazoa; Arthropoda; Insecta; Diptera; Stratiomyidae
Exons: 3
Source: RefSeq, a predicted model, not a curated record
UUUUCAUGACUAUUAUGUAAAGCAGUAUUUUUCACAAAAUUUUACUAUGUGCUUAAUUAUAUUCUGUAAUCCUUCUACAUACAAGUGUGUUAUAUAUACAUGUGGCAGGUCCUUUCUAUGCGGAACACUGAAUAACACGAAAAGGUAGUGGUUCUGGUGCGCUCACAAUCGAAUGGAUACAUGACACGCGAAAUUUUCGUAAACCGAAAAAAUAAAAAAACUAAAAUUUUUGUUUAGAUUAUAGUGUAAAGGAAAUGGAUUGGAUUGGAAUGGAUUACCUUACGAUCGCUACAAAUAGUAUUUCACACUAGUGACAGAGGAGAG